AACGGGUUGUCUGCUGGCUCGCAAGGGCAUGUGCACGCCUGUCUCAUCCACUCUCAACUUCUGUGCACUUUUCAUAGGCCGGCUUGUGGGUGCGUUCGCGCACUUGUAGGUGUCGGGCUUAUGCUUUACUACAAACGAUUCAGUUUUAGAAUGUCAUACUUUGCUAUAACGCAAUUUAUAUACAACUUUCAGCAACGGAUCUCUUGGCUCUCGCAUCGAUGAAGAACGCAGCGAAAUGCGAUAAGUAAUGUGAAUUGCAGAAUUCAGUGAAUCAUCGAAUCUUUGAACGCACCUUGCGCUCCUUGGUAUUCCGAGGAGCAUGCCUGUUUGAGUCUCAUGGAAUUCUCAACCUUCGGCUUCAUUGACGAAGGCUUGGACUUGGAGGUCGUGCCGGCUCUCGUAGUCGGCUCCUCUGAAAUGCAUUAGUGCGAACGUUACCAGCCGCUUCAGCGUGAUAAUUAUCUGCGUUGCUGUGGAGGGUAUUCUAGUGUCCGCGCUUCUAACCGUCUUCGGACAAAUUUCUGAACUCUGAGCUCAAAUCAGGUAGGACUACCCGCUGAACUUAAGCAUAUCAAUAAGCGGAGGAAAAGAAACUAACAAGGAUUCCCCUAGUAACUGCGAGUGAAGCGGGAAAAGCUCAAAUUUAAAAUCUGGCGGUCUUCGGCCGUCCGAGUUGUAAUCUGGAGAAGCGUUUUCCGCGCCGGACCGUGUACAAGUCUCUUGGAACAGAGCGUCAUAGAGGGUGAGAAUCCCGUCUUUGACACGGACUACCGGUGCUAUGUGAUGCGCUCUCGAUGAGUCGAGUUGUUUGGGAAUGCAGCUCAAAA
RNAcentral lists this ribosomal RNA (827 nucleotides) under Bjerkandera adusta cf. RG-2014. Its description in RNAcentral is "eukaryotic LSU rRNA". The stretch from base 530 to 827 matches the Rfam family "Eukaryotic large subunit ribosomal RNA", at positions 1 to 292 of the family's 3401-position model. The record is from RNAcentral. Lineage: Eukaryota; Fungi; Basidiomycota; Agaricomycetes; Polyporales; Phanerochaetaceae.